AUUGAACGCUGGCGGCAGGCUUAACACAUGCAAGUCGAGCGAGCGGCGGACGGGUGAGUAAUGUCUGGGACACUGCCUGAGGGGGGGGGAUAAAUACUGGACACGGUAUCAAAUCCCGUAUUCCAUCAGAUGUGCACAGAUGGGUUUAGCGAGGAGGUGGGGUAAUGGCUCACCUAGGCGACGAUCCCUAGCUGUUCUGAGGGGAUGAUCAGCCACACGGGAACUGAGACACGGCCCAGACGCCUACGGGAGGCAGCAGUGGGGAAUAUUGCACAAGGGGCGCAAGCCUGAUGCAGCCAUGCCGCGUGUGUGAAGAAGGCCCUCGGGUUGUAAAGCACUUUCAGCGAGGAGGCGUUACCCACAGAAGAAGCACCGGCUAACUCCGUGCCAGCAGCCGCGGUAAUUC
This 406-nucleotide ribosomal RNA is filed under the name uncultured bacterium. RNAcentral's name for it is "partial 16S ribosomal RNA". It matches the Rfam family "Bacterial small subunit ribosomal RNA", at positions 30 to 526 of the family's 1533-position model. The record is from RNAcentral.